AACAAGGCGUACCUGCGGACCUGCGGAAGGAUCAUUACCGAGUUUACAACUCCCAAACCCAUGUGAACAUACCUAUCGUUGCUUCGGCGGGAUCGCCCCGGGCGCCUCGUGUGCCCCGGAUCCGGCGCCCGCCUAGGAACCUUAACUCUUGUUUUAUUUUGGAAUCUUCUGAGUAGUUUUUACAAAUAAAUAAAAACUUUCAGCAACGGAUCU
Molecule: unclassified non-coding RNA, 213 nt
Filed under: soil metagenome
Description: partial contains 5.8S ribosomal RNA, internal transcribed spacer 2, and large subunit ribosomal RNA
Source: RNAcentral